AGAACGAACGCUGGCGGCAGGCUUAACACAUGCAAGUCGAGCGCCCCGCAAGGGGAGCGGCAGACGGGUGAGUAACGCGUGGGAACGUACCCCUCGGUUCGGAAUAACUCAGGGAAACUUGAGCUAAUACCGGAUACGCCCUUACGGGGAAAGAUUUAUUGCCGAAGGAACGGCCCGCGUCCGAUUAGCUAGUUGGUGAGGUAAUGGCUCACCAAGGCGACGAUCGGUAGCUGGUCUGAGAGGAUGACCAGCAUCACUGGGACUGAGACACGGCCCAGACUCCUACGGGAGGCAGCAGUGGGGAAUAUUGGACAAUGGGCGCAAGCCUGAUCCAGCCAUGCCGCGUGGAUGAUGAAGGCCUUAGGGUUGUAAAGUCCUUUUAACGGGAAGAUAAUGACGGUACCGUAGAAGUAAGCCCGGCUAACUUCGUGCCAGCAGCCGC
This 442-nucleotide ribosomal RNA is filed under the name uncultured bacterium. RNAcentral describes it as "SSU rRNA". It matches the Rfam family "Bacterial small subunit ribosomal RNA", at positions 26 to 518 of the family's 1533-position model. The record is from RNAcentral.